AAAGAGGCCCGAGGCAGUAAGGAUUGCUAAUCCUCAUUCCCAUGGGUUAAACUCCA
This 56-nucleotide transfer RNA is filed under the name Bagarius yarrelli (goonch). RNAcentral's name for it is "partial tRNA-Ser". Lineage: Eukaryota; Metazoa; Chordata; Actinopteri; Siluriformes; Sisoridae. The record is from RNAcentral.